RNAcentral lists this ribosomal RNA (689 nucleotides) under uncultured Capnodiales. Its description in RNAcentral is "eukaryotic LSU rRNA". The stretch from base 314 to 466 matches the Rfam family "5.8S ribosomal RNA". Lineage: Eukaryota; Fungi; Ascomycota; Dothideomycetes; Capnodiales. The record is from RNAcentral.
CUUGGUCAUUUAGAGGAAGUAAAAGUCGUAACAAGGUUUCCGUAGGUAUGUAAUCGUGUCGCUCCCCUAAUUUUGCGGACUUGUGCUAACUUUUCUAGGUGAACCUGCGGAGGGAUCAUUACCGGGUCUGGGUUCUUCGUGAGCCCACCUUCCCACCCUGUGUCGACCGUACCGUGUUGCUUCGGCGGGCCCGUCGCGCCGCCGUGCGUGACCGCCGGGGGGUCUCUCGACCCUUUGGUCCGCGCCCGCCAGGAGCCCCGUCAAACUCAUGGUUCAACGUGACGUCUGAGGAAAUACUAUAAUGCAAAUGCAAAACUUUCAACAACGGAUCUCUUGGUUCUGGCAUCGAUGAAGAACGCAGCGAAAUGCGAUAAGUAAUGCGAAUUGCAGAAUCCGUGAGUCAUCGAAUCUUUGAACGCACAUUGCGCCCUUUGGCAUUCCGAAGGGCAUGCCUGUCCGAGCGUCAUUAUCUACCCUCAAGCUCCGGCUUGGUGUUGGGUCUGGUCGGCCCCUGACGGUCGACCGACCUCAAAGGCAACGACGGCAGGUCGUGGAACCCCCGGUGCAACGAGCUCCCCGAGCACGCACCGCCGCUGGGCCCGCGACGGCCGGUCACUCUCUCCUUCUCAGGUUGACCUCGGAUCAGGUAGGGAUACCCGCUGAACUUAAGCAUAUCAAUAAGCGGAGGA